Molecule: long non-coding RNA, 22750 nt
Filed under: Triticum aestivum (bread wheat)
Lineage: Eukaryota; Viridiplantae; Streptophyta; Magnoliopsida; Poales; Poaceae
Description: long non-coding RNA (TAES_LNC027798)
Source: RNAcentral
CGAGACCGCCCUAGCAAAAGUGGCAUGAUAUACAUACAUCUUACAAUAUCUGUCACAGCAACGUCAACAACAUACAGAUUGCCUUCAUCUUCAUCGCCGUCGUCAUGACUUGCCCCCCGUUUUUCGUUGUUUGUUGUUAAAUUUAUCCCCCUCCGUAGUAGUAUGGUGUCCCCCCGCACUAAUCUGUGCCUAGCAGAGCUGAAGUAGUAGGGCUGUGUUGUUGUGCUCCAUCCAUCCAUGUCAGUGUACAUAUAUGAUUAGCCCGUGUAAAGUUAAGUUUCAUAUGUCGUGUAAUGUGGUAGUGUCGUUGGCUCAGAAGUUAUUGACUGCCUGUCGUUUCCUUGAACAGUCCUUGGGAACUGUAUGCAUCUGGAUCUGUUGGACUGCUUGUAUUUGGAAGUUUUCCUCAAGUUUCAGUACUGAUGAAUUUUACUGUCUUGAUACAAUUUGGCAAGAACUUUCUCUGUUUGUUCUUUCUUUCUGCCUGUUUGUUUUCUGAACAUAUUUUGUUGUUUUUCGGUGGGCUCUGAAUUAUAACUGUAUGAACAUGAUGAUGUAUUAUUGAUCCAUGAAUGAAUAAGUUUGCAACCGUACUGCCGUUCCAUUUGAUGAGGUAGGGAUUGCAAAGCGGCCUGCGAACUGUAGGAAGCGUCACCCUUUUUCUAAACGGUGACAGAAAAAGUGUCUCGCUCUCACUCGCUGAAAGCCGAAAAUGAGAAGAAAACAAGAGGAAUGAUGAUAAAAAACGAGCCAACUGAUUGAUCAAAAUCGGUGGGAUGGAGGAUAUGCAGGCAACAGUACGUGCCAUGCCGCCUGAUAUUGUUCCUCCUGAUGGAUGGAUGGAGCAGGAAGCACGACGGAAGAAAGCAACAAAAAUCCUCUCAUCUCAAGAGAAAAAGCAAGGGAAACGAACGGGGCGCAGCCAAAGUCGCUGCGGAAACUAUGUUAUCGGUUCGCUACUUUGUGCUCGAGCAUUUCUGGAAGCGUUUCCGUGCCUCGUGUCCCCCACUGGUUGGUGGUCUGGUGACCGGGCAUUGGUGUACGGAAGCCGCCGUGGUUAUAAGUAGAUUGUCAUAGACCGACGGACUAACGAAAACACAUUAAACUUCGGGGGAUCAAGGCAAGUGCUUCGUUGUGUGAGGCGCACAAGGCAACCACCUCUGCUCCGGAAAGGUCGAGGACAAUCGCCUUGAAGGUUAUGAGGUAGCCGAUCUGGAGCUAGUGAGCAAUGGCGAAGCCGCUUCGGCUCACCCAUGAUCCAUGGUUAGUCUCUCGUUGAUCUCCCGAGCUUGACCUUCUAGGUGAAGUCGGUGUUCUUCGUGAGUUUGAUCUCCCUUGGGAAGGCGCCCAUGUGUUUACCAAGCCAUUGGAGAUCGGCAGUAGAAUCACCUUGCAGAAGUGAGUUGGACUCACGAAAAUGGUUGGCUCCAAUCAUCGUGCGGGAAGAAAUCUGAUAAAGAUAGGGGUUGGAUACUAACCUUAGGUAGAGGCCCUUUCCAAGGCCGGAUCGCCGUCGCCGCCGUCCUCCGGUGAAUGAUCAGGCGAACAACCUCCAUCCUGUCCUCAGAACACAGCCCGAUCCGUGCCGGAUCCUCGGCCGGCACAAUCUCGUCGACCAACGCAACCACCUCUUCCUCCGAAUAACCAGGGGCGAAGGCCUCGUAAAUCACGUCGGAUGGCGUCGGUGAGUAGUCGACCGGUGAUGUGCCGGCUGGAUCCUCCUCGUCAUCCGAACCUGCGAGGACCCAGAAAUGCCCCCCCUACAUGCCUUGUGGAAGGGAUUGCAGGCCCCGGUGGCCGAUUCGCGGUGGUCGCCGCGGGCGCCGCCCGAGUCGCCUCAGUCAUCUACCAGUUGGUGUCAUACUCCACACCUCUAGAACCCUUACACCUUCCUACUGUGGGAGCGUCUUCUCUCGACGGAUCGGCACCCUUCGUGGUAGGGCGAGAGGGUUGGGAGCCCCCUUUGGAGUUAGACGGAGAAUCGCCGCCACUUCCGAGAUGGUCGUCGUGCUCGAACCAGCUCCGAACUUACAGACGUGGUAGGGCGAGAGGCCAGGGAGCCCCCCUUUUCAAAAAAAAAACCCGAAAAUGGUUGGCUUUGGUUGGCCUCCCCCGAUGCCUCUGCGAACACUGCGAUGCACUGCCCUUACCAACCUCUUUGCCUUGGGGCUCUCGUCCCACUAAUCAAAUUGAACAAGAUCAAGGCAUGUAACAAAAUAUCAUGGACUAAUCAUGAAAAAUAUGUGCAUCUACUACAACAACAAGAACAUCACACAUACCAAUUCGAGCCCUAUAAGAGCAUGGUUAAUAAUAUAGCCAGUUGCUGGCUAUAUGAUGUUGUCAUGUCACAUAUAGUCAAGCUUAUAGCCAACAAGUAUAAUAGCUAGAUAUAAAUAUGUACUACUUUGUUGAUACAUGGGCCACCCCACUCUCUCACAAAGUACCUAGGAGCACGUGCUGCAGCCGGCUGUUAACUAGUAGCCCGCUUCUCUUCUCUCUCUUCUUCUCUCUCUUCCAAGCAAGCAAGAAUAUAAUAUUUAAUGUCUUACCGCCCGCCUACAUCAUCUUAUCGUAUUUGCUCUAAAACCGUUAUUCGAGUGUCCCAUAUCCACACCCAAAUCAGAUCCCAUAUCCACACCCUAAUCGAGGUGUAUGAAAUCCUAAAUAUGAUUCUAAACCCAAAUGGUCACCCAAAUCGAGGCAUCCAAAUCUAAAUCGAUGCCUAUAUAGAUCCUCAAAUCUGCCAGGUAAGGGCUUACCACCAUUGACAAAAGGGUGAUGAGGCCGGUGGUCGCCGUUUAGAUCUUCGACCCGCCGAUGCCCACCGCCGCCAGUGAGAGAGGGGAGAGUGAGCGGUGACAUAUGAAUGAGGGAAUUUAUGGCGAACAACAACGUGGUGUCUCUAGUCGGUCCGCGCGUGUUCAGCCGCCUGCCGUCCUUGCGCUCGAUCGGGCCAGACUAGCUGGAACGAUUUAUUCAGCCGUUUCUCCAGGGUUAGACCCUGAGUUGCUUUGAAUAUCAUGCUAUUACGGGUACAGAUACACACACGGGUAACCAAAUGACUCAAAAUUAGAUCUCCAAAGCCCGGCUGAGUGUCAUGCAGGCAACAAAACAGACCCCCAAAUGCCUUCGGUUAGAGCAUCUCCAACCGCGCCCCUAACAGGCCCCCCAAGGCCCCUUUUUAGCACCAGUGCUGAAAAAACGGCCCAGUCGCGCCUCCAGGAACCCAAUUUUCACCGGUUAGGCCCUAAACUCGCGCCGGCGGACCUAGGCCAAACCCGACGCGUUGGGGGGUGCCCGAGGAAUCUUUUUGGCGCGAAAGAACGGCGGGCCCGCUGAGUCAGCGACCACGGCGCAACGUCAUCCUCAUCGCCUCGAUUCCCGCGAGGAAUCAAUGCCAAAGCUGUCGCGCUGGUCAGCCUCCAUUGAUGCCUCACGGGCGGCACAGUGAAGGCGCGGCAACGCGCGUCCCGCCCGAUCCCGCCACGCAUACACACGUCGGCCGCCAACCCACCGCCCAAGCUCGGCUAUAAAAAGCUCCCUCGUCGGGGAGCACACACACACUCUCGAGCGAGCUCCUCCUCUCGCUGCCGACACCCCUCUCGACCGAGCAUGGCCGAGCUUUACCCAAGCGAUGAUGCGACGGCUAAUGGCUUCGGUCGUCGCCACCUGUAUGAGGACGAGGCACGGCUCCUUUAUGAGGCCGACUACCUGGCACCGCCGGACAUGCAUCGAGCGUCGUUCCAGGCAAAGACACUGUUUCGGCGGCCGCGCACGUGGAAGCUGAGCGCCGGCGGAGUCCCGGUGCCACCGGCGCUGCCCGACGCGCCGAGAUCGCGCGCAUGCGGUCCUCGCUGACAGAGGAGGUGUGCAACCAGCCGAGGUACGCCCCCGAUAGCAACACGCUAUGGACGUCGUACUUCGUACGCUGCCACGUCGAGCAGCUCGCCUCCUCGAACGGCGUCGAGCCCCGUGAUGGGGUCAUGUACCUAGGGUAGGGUCACAGACCUGAUCUAAGUGCCCUGCCCAAGGACACCCUUAGAAGAGAUCACCUUCCAGUUGACCUACGAGGGACUCACUCGACUGACUUGAAGGACUCGACCACGAAGACUCACUCGACCACAAGAAAGUCAAGAGGCACUCUGCACUGCAACGGCCUGUAAUUAAGUAGACUUUAUGAUAGUAAAGACACUUUAUGUGGGGCGUUACCAGUAACGCCCCGGACUUAACUCACCUUAAACCCUCUCCUACGUGGGCUGGCUGGGGUCCUGGCGCACUCUAUAUAAGCCACCCCCCUCCACAGGUAGAGGGGUUCGGUACCUUGUAACUCAUAUACACAUAAUCCACUCGACCGCCUCUGGGCUCCGAGACGUAGGGCUUUUACUUCUUCCGAGAAGGGCCUGAACUCGUACAUCCCUUGUGUUUACAACUUCUCCAUAGCUAGGACCUUGCCUCUCCAUACCUACCCCCCACUCUACUGUCAGGCUUAGAACCACGACAGUUGGCGCCCACCUUGGGGCAGGUGUUUUAGCGAUUUUGUGGAGAAGUUGCGAUUCUUCCGAGUACUUUCAUCAUGGUGGCUGCUGGAGUUUUGGUCGAGGGCCGAGAGAUCCGUCUCGGUGCUCUCACCUUCGUCGCCGACGACUCCGCCUGGCUCCAGGAGGCUCCACUCGACGUCGAUGCGCUCCCCGUCCGCGGUGCGACGCAUUUUCGCGCAUGUGUCCGCGGCGUUCUGCUGCGGCAACCGUCGACCCCGUAUCGGUCGACUCCCCCAUCGGCCACCCUCCCGGUCUCCCACCAGCGCAAGCGCUCGGGCCGGUCGAGGCUUCAGCGGUGGGUGAGGCACGCGGUGGCUCGCCAGACGGCCACCACCCAAUUUGCGGCAAUCGAGCCCGACGAAUCUCUCUACGGCUUGUUCGAUCUGUCGACUGGCUCCGUAGAGACCGCAUCCGAGUGCGAUAGCAGUGAUCCUGCGGCGGAAAUCCUAAUGGUCGACGGGCCCCGCAGUCCCCCUGGCUUCGCCCGUGAUGGUGGAGCAGGCGACGGAGGCGACCCCGCACGAGACCAUGAAGAGUACCAGCCCGAGCCACUCGACUCUCUGCAAAGAGAGGAACUUCACCGCAGGAACAUGGAUGCCCUGCGUACUCCCAUCGCAGGAGAAACCCCUGAGGCUCGCGCCUUGGAGGAGGCACGUUUGGCCAAUUUGGCCGAACGCACUCGACUGGAGAAUCUUCAGCGAGCACUCGACGAGCGCGCGCGGCAACGAGUUCCCGACGCCAGUCAACGUCAACUCUUCCCGCCGACUCAGGUAUAUCGAACCCCAAUCCAGAAUUUAGCAGCUGCGACCCGUAUAGCAGAGUCCAUCCAGCCUUCUCAGUCGGAAGCUGGCAGAGGCUUGAUGCAGAUCAGGGAUCUGCUUCGGGCAGCAGGAGAUCAGAAUUCGGCCGUGUCGCAGUCGCGCAACAGAAUUCACAGUUGAUCCGUCGCUGCGAAUACGGUUCAGUCGGCUCACAGCCCCAGAUCGCCUCCGCGGCGUGAAGGGCGCGAGAAUCGGCGAGACCAAUAUGGUGACCGACUAGACCGAGAUGAUAGGCGUCGAGUGCCCAAUUCCCCUCCGAGGGGUGGGUCUUACGCUCCUCGGCAGCAAGAUGACAGGCGUCAGUUCAGUACGGGGCGAAGAGUUCCAGUCGACCCCAGAGAACCAGGCUUCGACGCGCGAUCCAUUAUCGUGCAAGGUUUGGUCGACCGGAACAGAGCCCAUCGAGGCGGACUCGACAGAGAUGCGCCCACAAGCAGUCGAGUGCAUGUUUCUGGUCCUGAAUGUUUCAGCAGAGCUAUCAGAGCCGCAAUUAUCCCUCCCAAUUUCAGGUUGGCAACAGGAGUCAGCAAGUUCACUGGUGAGUCUAAGCCUGAAACUUGGCUUGAGGACUACCGAGUGGCGGUUCAGAUUGGUGGUGGGAACGACGAGGUGGCUAUGAAGCAUUUGCCCCUCAUGCUGGAAGGUUCUGCCAGGGCAUGGUUGACUCAAUUACCUCCUAGCAGCAUUUACACUUGGGAAGAUCUGUCCCGAGUGUUCAUCAGAACGUUUGAAGGAACUUGCAAGCGACCAGCUGGAUUGACAGAGUUGCAAGUCUGCGUGCAGAAAACCAAUGAGACUCUCAGAGAGUAUAUUCAGAGAUGGAUCACUUUGCACCAUACUGUGGAGAAUGUGUCUGAUCAUCAGGCAGUCUGCGCCUUUAAAGAUGGCGUCAAGAACAGAGAAUUGAGCUUGAAGUUUGGUCGAACCGGUGACAUGACCUUGAGUCGGAUGAUGGAGAUCGCUACCAAGUACGCCAACGGCGAAGAAGAAGACCGACUCCGAAGCGGCAAGCACAAGCCGAGCCAGUCGGAAAAGGGAAACACCAGUCGGAAACAGAAGCGGAAGGCUGAACCGGCAGCUCCUGGAGAGGCUCUGGCCGUGACUCAAGGAAAGUUUAAAGGGAAACCAAAAGGAUCCUGGAACCCUAAGAAGGUGAAGGAUAAAGAAGGGAACGACGUGAUGGAUAUGCCGUGUCACAUCCACACGAAGAAAGACGAAGAGGGGAAUAUCAUCUACCCGAAGCAUACCACUCGCCAAUGUCGACUCCUGAUCCAGCAGUUUCAGGGAAAACAGUCUAAGGACAAGGAGAAGGAGUCGGACAAGGCCGAAGACAAGGAGGACAGUGAAGAAGGAUAUCCGCAUAUCAACUCCACUCUGAUGAUCUUUGCAGAUGUGGAAAGCAAGAGUCGAUUGAAAGUCAUUAACCGAGAGGUGAACAUGGUUGCCCCGGCAAAAGCAAAUUAUCUGAAAUGGUCCCAAAUACCCAUCACAUUCGACCAAUCUGAUCACCCGACUCAUAUUGCCACCCCUGGGAGGCAAGCUUUGGUGGUCGAUCCAGUUGUCGAAGGCACUCGACUGACAAAAGUGCUGAUGGACGGUGGAAGCGGGCUGAAUUUGUUGUAUGCAGACACACUGAAAGGAAUGGGCAUUCCGAUGUCCCGACUGAGCACCAGUAACAUGAGCUUUCAUGGAGUUAUACCAGGGAAGAAAGCCGAGUCACUCGGCCAAAUAGCUCUGGACGUGGUGUUUGGUGAUUCGAAACAUUUUCGCAAAGAAAAGUUGACGUUUGAGGUCGUGGAUUUUCAGAGUGCAUAUCAUGCCAUUUUGAGGAGACCAGCUUACGCAUGAUUCAUGGCUCGACCAUGUUACGUGUACCUCAAAUUGAAGAUGCCCGGCCCCAAAGGAGUGAUCACUGUCACCGGUGAUCGGAAAAAGGCAGAAGAGUGCUUUCAGAAGGGCUCAAAGAUUGCCAAUUCCCAGGUGACAGCGGUCGAAUUCGAAGAAUACAAGCAAAAUGCAGAUCCGAGUGAUUUGCUGCGAUCCAAGAAACCCGCCACAGAGUCUGCAUUUCAGUCGUCCGGUGCGACGAAGCCUGUUCACAUUCACCCGACCGACCCCGAUGCAGCUCCGACCCACAUCUCCACAACACUGGACCCGAAAUAGGAAGAAGCGCUCAUCCAGUUCCUCCGUGAGAACUGGGACAUUUUUGCAUGGAAGCCCGCUGACAUGCCAGGUGUUCCCAGGGGACUGGCUGAGCAUCGCCUAAGAGUCGACUCAUCUGCAAAAUCGGUCAAAGAGCAUCUUCGGCGGUCCGCCGUCCAGAAGAGACAAGCUAUUGGUGAGGAAGUGGCUCGACUGUUGGCGGCAAGAUUUAUCCGAGAGAUAUACCACUCCGAGUGGCUCGCUAAUGUCGUCAUGGUUCCUAAGAAAGACAAAUCGCUCCAAAUGUGCAUUGAUUUCAAGCACAUCAACCGGGCCUGCCCGAAAGAUCAUUUUCCUCUCCCUCGCAUAGAUCAAAUUGUUGACUCGACCGCGGGAUGCGAGAGACUGUCUUUUCUAGACGCCUACUCCGGGUACCACCAGAUCCGUCUGUACGGACCCGACGAGAUAAAAACAGCUUUCAUCACUCCAUUCGGGUGCUUUUGCUAUAUCACCAUGCCAUUCGGCCUCAAGAAUGCCGGAGCCACAUUUAUGCGAAUGAUUCAGAAGUGUCUACUCACUCAAAUCAGUCGGAAUGUGGAAGCGUAUAUGGAUGAUAUCGUCGUCAAGUCACGAAAAGGUUCCGACCUGCUCGCUGAUCUCGCCGAAACAUUUGCCAACCUCAGAAGGUAUGAUAUGCAGCUCAAUCCAUCAAAGUGCACAUUUGGAGUUCCUGGUGGCAAGUUACUCGGUUUUCUCGUUUCCGAACAAGGAAUCGACGCUAAUCCAGAGAAGAUCGGCACUAUUCUCCGAAUGAAACGCCCUGUGCGAGUGCACGAUGUCCAGAAGCUUACUGGAUGCUUGGCCGCAUUAAGUCGAUUCAUCUCAUGACUCGGUGAAAAGGCAUUGCCUCUUUACCGACUGAUGAAGAAGACAAACAAGUUCGAGUGGACUCCAGAAGCUGAUGCAGCGUUUGCCGAGCUAAAAGCUCUGCUCUCCACCCAGCCGGUGCUUGCUGCUCCAAUCAGCAAAGAGCCUCUUUUGCUCUAUAUCGCAGCCACAGGACAAGUCGUCAGUACUGUGCUUAUGGUCGAGCGGGAAGAAGAAGGAAAAGCUCUCAAAGUUCAGCGCCCAGUGUAUUAUUUGUCUGAAGCCUUGACUCCAUCCAAGCAGAGAUAUCCUCAUUAUCAGAAGCUUGUGUAUGGAAUAUACAUGACCACAAAGAAGGUUGCUCAUUAUUUCUCUGAUCAUUCCAUCACAGUCGUCAGCGACGCUCCACUAUCAGAGAUUUUGCACAACAGAGAUGCAACUGGUCGAGUGGCUAAAUGGGCGAUUGAACUUCUUCCCCUUGAUAUCAAGUUUGAGGCAAAGAAAGCCAUUAAGUCCCAGGCAAUAGCAGAUUUCCUCGCCGAGUGGAUUGAACAGCAGCAGCCGACUGAAGUUCACUCGGAGCAUUGGACCAUGUUCUUUGAUGGCUCUAAGAUGUUGAAUGGUUCCGGUGCUGGGGUUGUCCUGGUUUCCCCCAGAGGAGAUAAGCUCAGAUAUGUGCUCCAGAUUCACUUUGAUUCCUCCAACAAUGAGGCAGAAUAUGAGGCCCUCUUAUAUGGGUUGCGCAUGGCCAUUUCACUCGGCGUCCGUCGCCUGAUGGUCUAUGGCGACUCGGAUUUGGUGGUCAACCAAGUGAUGAAGGAGUGGGACGUGAGAAGCCCAGCCAUGACUGGAUACUGCAGUGCAGUGAGGAAGCUGGAAAAGAAGUUCGAGGGGUUGGAGCUCCAUCAUAUACCCCGACUGAAAAAUCAAGCAGCUGAUGAUCUAGCAAAGAUAGGUUCCAAGAGAGAAGCCAUUCCGAGUGGUGUGUUCUUGGAGCAUAUACACACUCCGUCAGUCAAAGAAGAUCCUUUCACCGAAGAAGCUCCACAGCCCAAGAGUGCCACAGAUCCGACUGAGGUUGAAGUCCCAGCAGUGGUCGACUUGGUCAUGGAGAUCUUGGUGGUCGUUCCCGACUGGACGGUUCCAUAUAUCGCGUAUAUCCUGAGAAAAGAGCUUCCGGAGGAUGAGGAAGAGGCUCGACAGAUCGUCCGUCGAUCUAAGGCCUUUACCGUAAUCAAAGGACAAUUAUACAGAGAAAGCGCGACUGGAGUUGGUCAGAAGUGCAUAACACCAGAAGAAGGUCGACUCAUCCUCAAUGAUAUCCACUCGGGAACCUGUGGUCAUCAUGCGUCCUCUCGGACCAUCGUGGCCAAAGCAUACCGAGCCGGAUUUUACUGGCCAAAGGCGAAUGAGAUGGCAAAGGAGAUAGUGGAUAAGUGCAAGGGAUGUCAGUUCUACUCGAAUAUGUCGCACAAGCCUGCAUCGGUUCUGAAGACCAUCCCACUCGUCUGGCCUUUCGCGGUAUGGGGGUUGGACAUGGUCGGUCCUUUGAGAACAGGGCGGAGCGGCUUCACGCAUGUACUGGUGGCAGUCGACAAGUUCACCAAGUGGAUUGAGGCUAAACCAAUCAAGAACCUUGACACCGGUACUGCUGUUAGCUUCAUCAGGGAACUAAUAUUCAGAUAUGGAGUCCCGCACAGCAUCAUUACGGAUAAUGGGUCGAACUUUGACUCGGAGGAAUUCAGAGAUUUCUGUAACUCUCAAGGCACACGGGUCGACUACGCUUCAGUCGCCCAUCCGCAGUCGAAUGGACAGGCGGAGCGAGCCAAUGGCCUGAUUCUCAAGGGAUUGAAACCCCGACUGAUGCGUGAUCUCAAGCAUGCAGCUGGAUCUUGGGUCGACGAACUUCCCUUAGUGCUUUGGGGACUGCGGACCACACCUAAUCGGUCGACCGGAAGAACUCCAUUCUUCUUGGUCUACGGAGCUGAAGCAGUCUUGCCGAGCGAUCUUCUCCACAAUGCUCCUCGAGUUGAAAUCUACAACGAAGCAGAAGCUGAACAAGCACGGCAGGACGCAGUCGACCUUUUAGAGGAAGAAAGGGAGAUGGCUCUGAUCCGGUCGACCAUCUACCAACAAGAUUUGCGUCGUUUCCACGCCAGAAAUGUGAGAGGUCGAGCCUUCCAGGAAGGAGAUUUGGUUCUCCGAGUGGAUCAGCACAAACCACACAAGCUUGCUCCUUCUUGGGAAGGUUCCUUUAUCGUCACCAAGGUUCUCCACAACGGGGCGUACCGUCUUUACAACGUCGAGCAUAAUAUCGACGAGCCCCGAGCUUGGAACGCGGAACUACUCCGCCCAUUUUACACUUAAGUUUUAUCACUCGGAUGAGUUGCAAUAAAGUACUUCUGUAGUUCAUGGACCUCAAAAUAAUAGUGUCAUAGUUCCUCCAUAAUUUUUGUCACUUUUCAUUUUGUCUAAUAAAAUUUCCCCCCAGUGGGCGACUUAGCCGCGAAUCUGUUCCGCCUAAGUUUGUAAAAAAUCCUACCGAGUGGUGAGCCAGACUCCCACUCGGAGGCUUAGCUGCGAAUCCGUUUCGCCUAAGUUAUAAAAAUCCUACCGAGUGAAGAGCAAACCUCUCACUCGGGGGCUUAGCUGCAGCCCAUUGCUCGCCUAAGAUAUAAAAAUCCUACCGAGUGGUAAGCCAGACUUCCACUCGGAGGCUUAGCUGCAGCUCAGUGCUCGCCUAAGUUAUCGAAAUCCUACCGAGUGAAGAGCAAACCUCUCACUCGGGGGCUUAGCUGCAGCCCAGUGCUCGCCUAAGAUAUAAAAAUGUUGGAAAUAUGCCCUAGAGGCAAUAAUAAAAGUGUUAUUAUUAUAUUUCCUUGUUCAUGAUAAUUGUCUUUUAUUCAUGCUAUAACUGUAUUAUCCGGAAAUCGUAAUACACGUGUGAAUACAUAGACCACAAUAUGUCCCUAGUGAGCCUCUAGUUGACUAGCUCGUUGUGAUCAACAGAUAGUCAUGGUUUCCUGGCUAUGGACAUUGGAUGUCGUUGAUAACGGGAUCACAUCAUUAGGAGAAUGAUGUGAUGGACAAGACCCAAUCCUGAGCAUAGCACAAAGAUCGUGUAGUUCGUUUGCUAGAGCUUUGCCAAUGUCAAGUAUCUCUUCCUUUGACCAUGAGAGCGUGUAACUCCUGGAUACCGUAGGAGUGCUUUGGGUGUAUCAAACGUCACAACGUAACUGGGUGACUAUAAAGGUGCACUACAGGUAUCUCCGAAAGUAUCUAUUGUUUUAUGCGGAUCGAGACUGGGAUUUGUCACUCCGUGUAAACGGAGAGGUAUCUCUGGGCCCACUCGGUAGGACAUCAUCAUAUGCGCAAUGUGACCAAGGAGUUGAUCACGGGAUGAUGUGUUACGGAACGAGUAAAGUGACUUGCCGGUAACGAGAUUGAACAAGGUAUUGGAUACCGACGAUCGAGUCUCGGGCAAGUAACAUACCGAUAGACAAAGGGAAUUGAAUACGGGAUUGAUUAUGUCCUUGACAUCGUGGUUCAUACGAUGAGAUCAUCGUGGAGCAUGUGGGAGCCAUCAUGGGUAUCCAGAUCCCGCUGUUGGUUAUUGACCAGAGAACGUCUCGGUCAUGUCUACAUGUCUCCCGAACCCGUAGGGUCUACACACUUAAGGUUCGAUGACGCUAGGGUUAUAAAGGAAGUUUGUAUGUGGUUACCGAAUGUUGUUCGGAGUCCCGGAUGAGAUCCCGGACGUCACGAGGAGUUCCGGAAUGGUUCGGAGGUAAAGAUUUAUAUAUGGGAAGUCCUAUUUUGGCCACCGGAAAAUGUUCGGGAUUUUUCGGUAUUGUACCGGGAAGGUUCUAGAAGGUUCCGGAGUGGGGCCCACCUGCAUGGGGGGGCCCAUAUGGAUGUGGGUAGUGGGGGCAAGGCCCCACACCCCUGGUCAAGGCGCACCAAGAUCCCCCCUUAGAAGGAAUAAGAUCAUAUCCCGAAGGGAUAAGAUCAAGAUCCCUAAAAAGGGGGGAUAACAAUCGGUGGGGAAGGAAAUGAUGGGAUUUCUUUCCUCCCACCUUGGCCAACGCCCCAAUGGACUUGGAGGGCAAGAAACCAGCCCCCUCCACCCCUAUAUAUAGUGGGGAGGCGCAUGGGAGCUUCACCCUUGCCCCUGGCGCAGCCCUCCCUCUCCCAAGUGCUCCUCCUCUCUCGCGGUGCUUGGCGAAGCCCUGCAGGAUUGCCACGCUCCUCCACCACCACCACGCCGUUGUGCUGCUGCUUGACGGAGUCUUCCUCAACCUCUCCCUCUCUCCUUGCUGGAUCAAGGCAUGGGAGACGUCACCGGGCUGUACGUGUGUUGAACGCGGAGGUGCCGUCCGUUCGGCACUAGGAUCUCCGGUGAUUUGGAUCACGACGAGUACGACUCCUUCAACCCCGUUCUCUUGAACGCUUCCGCUUAGCGAUCUACAAGGGUAUGUAGAUGCACUCUCUUUCUACUCGUUGCUGGUAUCUCCAUAGAUAGAUCUUGGUGACACGUAGGAAAAUUUUGAAUUUCUGCUACGUUCCCCAACAGUGGCAUCAUGAGCUAGGUCUAUUGCGUAGAUUCUUUGCACGAGUAGAACACAAAGUAGUUGUGGGCUUUGAUUUUGUUCAGUAUGCUUACCGUUACUAGUCCAAUCUUGUUUCGACGGUAUUGUGGGAUGAAGCGGCCCGGACCGACCUUACACGUACUCUUACGUGAGACAGGUUCCACCGAUUGACAUGCACUUGGUGCAUAAGGUGGCUAGCGGGUGCCAGUCUCUCCCACUUUAGUCGGAACGGAUUCGAUGAAAAGGGUCCUUAUGAAGGGUAAAUAGCAAUUGGCAUAUCACGUUGUGGUGUUGCGUAGGUAAGAAACGUUCUUGCUAGAAACCCAUAGCAGCCACGUAAAACAUGCAACAACAAUUAGAGGACGUCUAACUUGUUUUUGCAGGGUAUGCUAUGUGAUGUGAUAUGGCCAAGAAGAAUGUGAUGAAUGAUAUGUGAUGUAUGAGAUUGAUCAUGUUCUUGUAAUAGGAUUCACGACUUGCAUGUCGAUGAGUAUGACAACCGGCAGGAGCCAUAGGAGUUGUCUUUAUUUAUUGUAUGACCUGCGUGUCAUUGAAGAACGCCAUGUAAACUACUUUACUUUAUUGCUAAACGCGUUAGUCAUAGAAGUAUAAGUAGUCGUUGGCGUGACAACUUCAUGAAGACACGAUGAUGGAGAUCAUGAUGAUGGAGAUCAUGGUGUCGUGCCGGUGACGAUGAUGAUCAUGGAGCCCCGAAGAUGAAGAUCAAAAGGAGCAAAAUGAUAUUGGCCAUAUCAUGUCACUAUUUGAUUGCAUGUGAUGUUUAUCAUGUUUAUGCAUCUUGUUUGCUUAGGACGACGGUAGUAAAUAAGAUGAUCCCUUACAAAAUUUCAAGAAGUGUUCUCCCCUAACUGUGCACCGUUGCUACAGUUCGUCGCUUCUAAGCACCACGUGAUGAUCGGGUGUGAUGGAUUCUUACGUUCACAUACAACGGGUGUAAGACAGUUUUACACAGCGAAAACACUUAGGGUUAACUUGACAAGCCUAGCAUGUGCAGACAUGGCCUCGGAACACGGAGACCGAAAGGUCGAGCAUGAGUCAUAUGGUAGAUACGAUCAACAUGAAGAUGUUCACCGAUGAUGACUAGUCCGUCUCACGUGAUGAUCGGACACGGCCUAGUUGACUUGGAUCAUGUGAUCACUUAGAUGACCAGAGGGAUGUCUAUCUAAGUGGGAGUUCAUAAGAUGAACUUAAUUAUCCUGAACAUAGUCAAAAGACCUUUUGCAAAUUAUGUCGUAAGCUCGCGCUUUAGUUCCACUGUUUAGAUAUGUUCCUAGAGAAAAUAUAGUUGAAAGUUGAUAGUAGCGAUUAUGCGAUCAGUAGAAAGCUUAUGUCCUUAAUGCACCGCUCAGUGUGCUGAACCCCAACGUCGUUUGUCGAUGUUGCGAACAUCGGACAUACACGUUUUGAUAACUACGUGAUAGUUCAAUUAAAUGGUUUAAGUAGAGGCACCAAAGACGUUUUCGAAACGUCGCGGAACAUAUGAGAUGUUUCGAGGGCUGAAAUUGGGAUUUCAGGCUCGUGCCCACGUCAAGAGGUAUAAGACCUCCGACGAUUUUCUUAGCCUGCAGACUAAGGAGAAAAGCUCAAUUGUUGUGCUUGUGAUCAGAUUGUCUGAGUACAACAAUCGCUUGAAUCGAGUGGGAGUUGAUCUUCCAGAUGAAAUAGUGAUGGUUCUCCGAAGUCAUUACCACCAAGCUGCUAGAGCUUCGUGAUGAACUAUGAUAUAUCAGGGACAUAUAUGAUGAUCCUUGAGAUAUUCGCGAUGUUUGACGCCACGAAAGUAGAAAUCAAGAAGGAGCAUCAAUUGUUGAUGGUUGGUGAAACCACUAGUUUCAAGAAGGGCAAGGGCAAGAAGGGAUACUUCAUGAAACGGCAAUUCAACUGCUGCUCUAGUGAAGAAACCCAAGGUUGAACCCAAACCCGAGACUAAGUGCUUCUGUAAUAAGGGGAACAACCACUGGAGCAGAAUUACCCUAGAUACUUGGUAGAUGAGAAGGCUGGCAAAGUCGAUAUAAGUAUAUUGGAUAUACAUUAUGUUAAUGUGUACUUUACUAGUACUCCUAGUAGCACCAGGGUAUUAAGAUACCGGUUCGGUUGCUAAGUGUUAGUAACUCGAAAUAAAGAGCUACGGAAUAAACGGAGACUAGCUAAAGGUGAGCUGACGAUAUGUGUUGGAAGUGUUUCCAAGUUUGAUAUGAUCAAACAUCGCACGCUCCCUCUACCAUCAAGAUUAGUAUUAAACCUGAAUGGUUUAUUGAAUCUCGAUCAUAGUGAUACACAUUUUCAUGCCAAAAGAUAUAAGAUAGUAAUGAUAGUACCACUUACUUGUGGCACUGCCAUGUAAGUCAUAAUGGUAUAAAACGCAUGAAGAAGCUCCAUGUUGAUGGAUCUUUGGACUCACUCGUUUUGAAAAGUUUGAGACAUGCGAACCAUGUCUAUUGGUGUAUAUGCAUGAAGAAACUCCAUGCAAAUGGACCGUUUGGACUCACUUGAUUUUGAAUCACUUGAGAUAUGCAAAUCAUACCACAUGGGCAAGAUGACUGAAAAGCCUCGUUUUCAGUAAGAUGGAACAAGAUAGCAACUUGUUGGAAGUAACACAUUUUGAUGUGUCCAAUCCAAUGAGUGCUAAGGCAUGCAGUGAAUAUCGUUAUGUUCUUACUUCACAGAUGAUUCGAGUAGAUGUUGAGAAUAUUUACUUGAUGAAACACAAGUCUGAAUUAUUGAAUGGUUCAAGUAAUUUCAGAGUGAAGUAGAAGAUCAUUGUGACAAGAGGAUAAAAUGUCUAUGAUACGAUCAUAGAGAUGAAUAUCUGAGUUACGAGUUUUGGCACACAAUUAAGACAUUGUGGAAAUUGUUUCACAAUUAAUACCGCCUGGAACACCAUAGUGUGAUGGUGUGUCCGAACAUCAUAGUUGCACCCUAUUGGAUAUGGUGCGUACCAUGAUGUCUCUUAUCGAAUUACCACUAUUGUCCAUGGGUUAGGCAUUAGAGACAACCACAUUCACUUUAAAUAGGGCACCACGUAAUUCCGUUGAGAUGACACCGUAUGAAUUAUGGUUUAGAGAAACCUAAGUUGUCGUUUCUUAAAAGUUUGGGGCUGCGACGCUUAUGUGAAAAAGUUUCAGGUUGAUAAGCUCGAAUCCAAAGCGGAUAAAAUGCAUCUUCAUAGGACACCCAAAACAGUUGGGUAUACCUCCUAAUUCAGAUCCGAAAGCAAUAGGGAUUGUCUCUUGAAUCGGGUCCUUUCUCGAGGAAAAGUUUCUCUCGAAAGAAUUGAGUGGGAGGAUGGUGGAAACUUGAUGAGGUUAUUGAACCGUCUCUUCAACUAGUGUGUGGCAGGGCACAGGAAGUUGUUCCUGUGGCACCUACACCAAUUGAAGUGGAAGCUUAUGAUAUUGAUCAUGAAACUUCGGAUCAAGUCACUACCAAACCUCGUGGGAUGACAAGGAUGCGUACUACUUCAGAGUGGUACGUAAUCUUGUCUUGAAGGUCAUGUUGCUAGACAACAAUGAACCUACGAGCUAUGGAGAAGCGAUGGUGGGCCCGAAUUCCAACAAAUGGUUAGAAGCCAUGAAAUCCGAGAUAGUAUCCAUAUAUCAGAACAAAGCAUGGACUUUGAUGGACUUGCCCGAUGAUCGGCAAUCCAUUGAGAUAAAUGGAUCUUUUAAGAAGAAGACGGACGUGGAUGGUAAUGUCACCAUCUAUGAAGCUCGACUUGUGGCGAAGUGUUUUCCGACAAGUUCAAGGAGUUGACUAUGAUGAGAUUUUCUCACUCGUAGCGAUGCUUAAAGUCCGUUGGAAUCAUGUUAGCAUUAGCUGCAUUUAUGAAAUCUGGCAGAUGGAUGUCAAGACAAGUUUCCUUACCAGUUUUCGUAAGGAAAGGUUGUAUGCAAUACAAUCAGAAAAGUUUUGUCGAUCCUAAGGAUGCUAAAAGGUAUGCUAGCUCCAGGGAUCCUUCUAAGGACUGGAGUAAGCAUCUCGGAGUUGGAAUGUACGCUUUGAUGAGAUGAUCAAAGAUUUUGGAUUUAUACAAAGUUUAUGAGAAACUUGUAUUUCCAAAGAAGUGAGCGGGAGCACUAUAGAAUUUCUGAUGAGUAUAUGUUGUUGACAUAUUGAUGAUCAGAGAUGAUGUAGAAUUUCUAGAAAGCAUAUAGGGUUAUUUGAAAGGUGUUUUUCAAUAGAAAACCUAGAUUAAGCUACUUGAACAUUGAGCAUCAAGAUCUAUAAGGAUAGAUCAAAAUGCUUAAUAAUACUUUCAAAUGAGCACAUACCUUGACAUGAUCUUGAAGGUGUUCAAGAUAGAUCAGUCAAAGAAGAAGUUCUUGCCUGAGUUGUAAGGUACGAAGUUAAGACUUAAAGCUCGACCUUGGCAGAAUAGAGAGAAAGGACGAAGGUUGUCCCCUAUGCUUAAGACAUAGGCUCUACAGUAUGCUAUGCUGUGUACCGCACCGAAAGUGUGCCUUGCCAUGAGUCAGUCAAGGGGUACAAGAGUGAUCCAUGAAUGGAUCAUAGGACAGCGGUCAAAGUUAUCCUUAGUAACUAGUGGACUAAGGAAUUUUCUCGAUUAUGGAGGUGGUAAAAGAGUUCGUCGUAAAGGUUACGACGAUGCAAGCUUAACACCUAUCCGGAUAGCUCUAAGUAGAGAUACCGGAUACGUACAAUGGGGCAACAAUUUAGAAUAGCUCCAAGUAGAACAGUUAUUUGGAAUAGCUCCAAAUAGAGCGUGGUAGCUGCAUCUAGGAGAUGACAUAGAGAUUUGUAAAGCACACACGGAUCUGAAAGGUUCAGACCCGUUGACUAAAACCUCUCUCACAAGCAACAUGAUCAAACAUAAAACUCAUUGAGUGUUGAUCACAUAGUGAUGUGAACUAGACUACUGAUUCUAGUAAACUCUUGGGUGUUGGUCACAUGGCGAUGUGACCUGUGAGUGUUAAUCACAUGGCGAUGUGAACUAGAUUAUUGACUCUAGUGCAAGUGGGAGACUGUUGGAAAUAUGCCCUAGAGGCAAUAAUAAAAGUGUUAUUAUUAUAUUUCCUUGUUCAUGAUAAUUGUCUUUUAUUCAUGCUAUAAUUGUAUUAUCCGGAAAUCAUAACACACGUGUGAAUACAUAGACCACAAUAUGUCCCUAGUGAGCCUCUAGUUGACUAGCUCGUUGUGAUCAACGGAUAGUCAUGGUUUCCUGGCUAUGGACAUUGGAUGUCGUUGAUAACGGGAUCACAUCAUUAGGAGAAUGAUGUGAUGGACAAGACCCAAUCCUGAGCAUAGCACAAAGAUCGUGUAGUUCGUUUGCUAGAGCUUUGCCAAUGUCAAGUAUCUCUUCCUUUGACCAUGAGAGCAUGUAACUCCUGGAUAUCGUAGGAGUGCUUUGGGUGUAUCAAACGUCACAACGUAACUGGGUGACUAUAAAGGUGCACUACAGGUAUCUCCGAAAGUAUCUAUUGUUUUAUGCGGAUCGAGACUGGGAUUUGUCACUCCGUGUAAACGGAGAGGUAUCUCUGGGCCCACUCGGUAGGACAUCAUCAUAUGCGCAAUGUGACCAAGGAGUUGAUCACGGGAUGAUGUGUUACGGAACGAGUAAAGUGACUUGCCGGUAACGAGAUUGAACAAGGUAUUGGAUACCGACGAUCGAGUCUCGGGCAAGUAACAUACCGAUAGACAAAGGGAAUUGAAUACGGGAUUGAUUAAGUCCUUGACAUCGUGGUUCAUCCGAUGAGAUCAUCGUGGAGCAUGUGGGAGCCAUCAUGGGUAUCCAGAUCCCGCUGUUGGUUAUUGACCAGAGAACGUCUCGGUCAUGUCUACAUGUCUCCCGAACCCGUAGGGUCUACACACUUAAGGUUCGAUGACGCUAGGGUUAUAAAGGAAGUUUGUAUGUGGUUACCGAAUGUUGUUCGGAGUCCCGGAUGAGAUCCCGGACGUCACGAGGAGUUCCGGAAUGGUCCGGAGGUAAAGAUUUAUAUAUGGGAAGUCCUAUUUUGGCCACCGGAAAAUGUUCGGGAUUUUUCGGUAUUGUACCAGGAAGGUUCUAGAAGGUUCCGGAGUGGGGCCCACCUGCAUGGGGGGGCCCACAUGGAUGUGGGUAGUGGGGGCAAGGCCCCACACCCCUGGUCAAGGCGCACCAAGAUCCCCCCUUAGAAGGAAUAAGAUCAUAUCCCGAAGGGAUAAGAUCAAGAUCCCUAAAAAGGGGGGAUAACAAUCGGUGGGGAAGGAAAUGAUGGGAUUUCUUUCCUCCCACCUUGGCCAACGCCCCAAUGGACUUGGAGGGCAAGAAACCAGCCCCCUCCACCCCUAUAUAUAGUGGGGAGGCGCAUGGGAGCUUCACCCUUGCCCCUGGCGCAGCCCUCCCUCUCCCAAGUGCUCCUCCUCUCUCGCGGUGCUUGGCGAAGCCCUGCAGGAUUGCCACGCUCCUCCACCACCACCACCACGCCAUUGUGCUGCUGCUGGACGGAGUCUUCCUCAACCUCUCCCUCUCUCCUUGCUGGAUCAAGGCAUGGGAGACGUCACCGGGCUGUACGUGUGUUGAACGCGGAGGUGCCGUCCGUUCGGCACUAGGAUCUCCGGUGAUUUGGAUCACGACGAGUACGACUCCUUCAACCCCGUUCUCUUGAACGCUUCCGCUUAGCGAUCUACAAGGGUAUGUAGAUGCACUCUCUUUCUACUCGUUGCUGGUCUCUCCAUAGAUAGAUCUUGGUGACACGUAGGAAAAUUUUGAAUUUCUGCUACGUUCCCCAACAAAAAAUCCUACCGAGUGGUAAGCCAGACUUCCACUCGGAGGCUUAGCUGCAGCUCAGUGCUCGCCUAAGUUAUCAAAAUCCUACCGAGUGAAGAGCAAACCUCUCACUCGGGGGCUUAGCUGCAGCCCAGUGCUCGCCUAAGAUAUAAAAAUCCUACCGAGUGGUAAGCCAGACUUCCACUCGGAGGCUUAGCUGCAGCUCAGUGCUCGCCUAAGUUAUCGAAAUCCUACCGAGUGAAGAGCAAACCUCUCACUCGGGGGCUUAGCUACAGCCCAGUGCUCGCCUAAGAUAUAAAAAUCCUGCCGAGUGGUAAGCCAGACUUCCACUCGGAGGCUUAGCUGCAGCUCAGUGCUCGCCUAAGUUAUCGAAAUCCUACCGAGUGNNNNNNNNNNNNNNNNNNNNNNNNNNNNNNNNNNNNNNNNNNNNNNNNNNNNNNNNNNNNNNNNNNNNNNNNNNNNNNNNNNNNNNNNNNNNNNNNNNNNNNNNNNNNNNNNNNNNNNNNNNNNNNNNNNNNNNNNNNNNNNNNNNNNNNNNNNNNNNNNNNNNNNNNNNNNNNNNNNNNNNNNNNNNNNNNNNNNNNNNNNNNNNNNNNNNNNNNNNNNNNNNNNNNNNNNNNNNNNNNNNNNNNNNNNNNNNNNNNNNNNNNNNNNNNNNNNNNNNNNNNNNNNNNNNNNNNNNNNNNNNNNNNNNNNNNNNNNNNNNNNNNNNNNNNNNNNNNNNNNNNNNNNNNNNNNNNNNNNNNNNNNNNNNNNNNNNNNNNNNNNNNNNNNNNNNNNNNNNNNNNNNNNNNNNNNNNNNNNNNNNNNNNNNNNNNNNNNNNNNNNNNNNNNNNNNNNNNNNNNNNNNNNNNNNNNNNNNNNNNNNNNNNNNNNNNNNNNNNNNNNNNNNNNNNNNNNNNNNNNNNNNNNNNNNNNNNNNNNNNNNNNNNNNNNNNNNNNNNNNNNNNNNNNNNNNNNNNNNNNNNNNNNNNNNNNNNNNNNNNNNNNNNNNNNNNNNNNNNNNNNNNNNNNNNNNNNNNNNNNNNNNNNNNNNNNNNNNNNNNNNNNNNNNNNNNNNNNNNNNNNNNNNNNNNNNNNNNNNNNNNNNNNNNNNNNNNNNNNNNNNNNNNNNNNNNNNNNNNNNNNNNNNNNNNNNNNNNNNNNNNNNNNNNNNNNNNNNNNNNNNNNNNNNNNNNNNNNNNGAGUGAAGAGCAAACCUCUCACUCGGGGGCUUAGCUGCAGUCCAAGUACUCGCCUAAGUUAUCAAAAAUCCUACCGAGUGAAGAGCAAACCUCUCACUCGGGGGCUUAGCUGCAGCCCAGUGCUCGCCUAAGAUAUAAAAAUCCUACCGAGUGGUAAGCCGGACUUCCACUCGGAGGCUUAGCUGCAGCCCAGUGCUCGCCUAAGAUAUAAAAAUCCUACCGAGUGGUAAGCCAGACUUCCACUCGGGGGCUUAGCUGCAGCUCAGUGCUCGCCUAAGAUAUAAAACCCUACCGAGUGAAGAGCAAACCUCUCACUCGGAGGCUUAGCUGCAGCCCAGUGCUCGCCUAAGUUAUCAGAAAUCCUACCGAGUGAAAAGUAAACCUCUCACUCGGGGGCUUAGCUGUAGACCAGCGCUCACCCAAGUGGACUAUGGAAUAAGUCGAUUGCAGUAAGUGCCCUGCUUUGGACAUGCAAAAGACAUUUCGAGCCAAAAGCAAUCACAUUCAAACGACAAAUUCAAGUUCGGAUAGAUACCUAAAGGGACCGAAAGUGCUCGGGCGCUAAGCCCGUUAAGGUUUAUCGGUUACAACUCCACUCGGCAUACCGAGGCAAAUUUAAAGCGUCGAGCUUAGAAGAAGUUUUUUACCCCUCCUGCGGAGGGCUGGAAGGUGCAACAAACUCAUCAAGAUCAAUUCCGUCUGCGAUCCGAGUGGCAGCCGCAAGGAAAGUUUCCAUAAAGGACCUGAAGUCGUGUUUCUUGGUGUUGGCCACCCGGAGGGCCGCCAGCUUCUCUUCUCGCGCAUCUUUGAAGUGGACUCGGGCCAGACAUAGAGCAACAUCUGCACUGCACCGAGCCGAGGACUUCUUCCACUCCUGCACUCGACCAGGGAUCGUGUUCAAGCGAGCCAUCAGCGACUCGAGGUCGUUCUGGAGUGUCUCCCUGGGCCAGAGCGUUGAGUCGAUGCGAGAUGUGGCGACCUUCAGCCUUGCAAGAUAGUCCACGACAGCUGCAACACGGGACUCCAGUCGGAAAACAUUCAUGGCAACUUCGUCGUUCACCGGAGAAUUGACGGGGUCGAGGUUUGGUUCCAGCCGGCUAGUUUCUUCUUCAAAGUUUUGACAAAAUUCUGCAAGGACGAUCACCGAGUCAAGGUGAUGGUCGAAUGGAAAAACCAUGAUUGGAAAUAAUUGCCUAGCAUAGAGGUUUACCUUCAAGCAUAAGAAACAGUUUCUUGGCAAGACCACUCAGGAAGGCCUCCAGAUCAUUUUUCUUCUCAGUCAACUUACUAACUUGGUCGGUCAGGGCAGCUUUAUCAGUUUUCAGUCGACUGACCUCCUUGUUGGCGAUCCCAAGAUCAGCUUUCAGAUUGGUAUUGUCUUGUUCAAGCUUGGUGACUGAAGCUAACUUCUCGUCGGCAAGCUUGAUCUUCUCAGCUAGUUCAAGGUCUUUCUUCUGUUGGGCCUCCCUUACCUUACCUGCAAGUUGCAGCAAGAUCAGAUUUUGAAACAAACAAAGGGAAAAGCAGUCGUCAAGGUCUCACAAAACAUACCUUCGGUCUCCUCCUUUGCCUUCGUCAGUUUCUCCUCAACCAGCUUCAAGUUCAGCUCGAGCUGAGUGUGCUUGUUUUCCAGCUCAGAGUAGCGAGCCACAAGAUCACAGGAAUUCUGCGAAGAACCAAUCGACUAAAUGUCAAAUAUAAUUCACUUCCGAGUGAAAAAGGAAAAAUCACACGUUUCUAAGACUACAGCCGAAUACAAGCAUUUGACCGUAGUCUCGGGGACCACACCCAGUGGGUGCACUCAGCGUGCCCCCACUAAUCCUAUUGAAGAUGGAGUCGACCAGUCGACCUCAAAAAAAAA